AUUGAACGCUGGCGGCAGGCCUAACACAUGCAAGUCGAGCGGAUGAAGGGAGCUUGCUCCUGGAUUCAGCGGCGGACGGGUGAGUAAUGCCUAGGAAUCUGCCUGGUCGUGGGGGAUAACGUCCGGAAACGGGCGCUUAUACCGCAUACGUCCUGUGGGCGACAGUGGGGGAUCUUCGGUCCUCACGCUUUCUGAUGAGCCUAGGUCGGUGUAGCUAGUUGGUGGGGUAAAUGCCUACCAAGGCGACGAUCCGUAACUGGUCUGAGAGGAUGAUCAGUCACACUGGAACAGAGACACGGUCCAGACACCUAGGGGAGGCAGCAGUGGGGAAUAUUGGACAAUGGGCGAAAGCCUGAUCCAGCAAAGCCGCGUGUAUGAAGAAGGUCUUCGGAUUGUAAAGCACUUUAAGUUGGGAGGAAGGGCAGUAAGUUAAUACCUUGCUGUUUUGACGUUACCAACAGAAUAAGCACCGGCUAACUUCGUG
Molecule: ribosomal RNA, 484 nt
Filed under: uncultured bacterium
Lineage: Bacteria
Description: partial 16S ribosomal RNA
Rfam family: Bacterial small subunit ribosomal RNA
Source: RNAcentral